GCCUCUGGCACUCCACGCCACAGCUGGAUUGCACCUCCUCCGUGUGCCAUAGAUCUGGAUCUGUGAGAUUCUCCUUGGAAAGGGCAGUAUGUGAAGCAAACAUCAGUACCUGAGACUAAGCUGCACUGAUGACCCUUCAAAAGAGGGCACCCCCCCUCCCUCAUACCACCGGGCCAUAAAUGUCCCACCAGAAGCAGAGCAGCUUUCCUGGCCUGCCGUCCCGGUACAGCGGUGAUGGAUGCUUCCAGCAUGGCACUGUCAUGGGGGCCUCAGGCUGGGCUGGCCAGGAUCCUGAGAGCUAUAAAAGAAGCCCACGGGCAUCUCGACCCUGUUCCGUGUCGGAACUGGAGAGGAGCUACACAAACAGCUACCCCUUGUCAGGGGUCCCCUUGCAAGGAGAGAACCCUCUGAACGGGACGCCAGGACCCUGGGAGCCCGGCCACUCAAACAGCGCAUGGAGAGAAUCCAGCAGGGGCUUUUUUAGGCCCAAGCACAUCGAAAGAGCCAGGUCCAUGAGCCCCUUGCGAGGGAUCCACUCCAUAGAUAGUGGGAUAGUUUUAACCAAUGGCAUGGAAUGUGCCUGGAAACAUUCCAGCCCACCACUCAGAAGGAGGCAUUCUUUAUCUCGUCUCCCGGACUGGGACACAGAAGAAUAUGGUCCCAUGCGGCCAUUGGUUCGAAGGGUGUGGAGUGGAUUGGAGCUGGACCUGCGGGCAUCUUUACCAGAGAAUGUGCAGAGGACUGCAGGGCUGGGGCCCUCUCUGCGGGACGCUCCUGGGGUGCUAGAGGGACAGGCAGAAGAGCUGCAGAAACUGGAACUCAACAGGGUGAAGUUUGAGCUGCUUUCCAUUAAGCAGAAGCAGAUGGAGAGCUCUCUCGCCCAACUAGAGAAGGAAAAGAGCUGGUUGGACCUGUCCCGCUAUGAAGACCAGAAACAGAGAGGGGACCUGCAAGAGAAGAUCCUUAAUUUGGAGAUGGAGGUGGUGAAGGCCAAAUCCUGCUUGAGCAGAAUGAGCUGCCGCUCGGUCUCCCCAAGUCCCAGACAGAGGUUGUCUGCGGAAAAGGAGGAGCUGAACCGAGAAAUGACAGCUCUUCAAGAAACCCUGAGUGGUUACAAGGAGCACAUGAAGGUUCUGGAAGCAGAACGGGAUGAAAUGACCCAGCAGCUGAACUCAGCCAAAGAGGGGCAACAGCUGGCUUUCAGCCAGACCAAUGAGGCCAACCAGAGAGUGACGGACUCGCUCCAGGCGACAACAGCACUGCACAAGGAAAUUGGCAGACUCCAAGUGGCUUACAACAGCACCAGCCGGGAGAAGGAGCUGCUGUCUUCCAAGGUGGCCAGACUGGAGGAGAGAGUAUCUGAGCUCACCAUGAAGCUGAAGCCUGCCCUGUCCAACAGGGAGAGGUUCCUAAAGGAGAAAGUGGAGCUGCACCAGCAGGUGCAGGAUCUCACCCUGCAAUUAGAACAUGCGCAGCGGAGCCGAGAGGGAUUCAACAGCCAAGUGUCAGACCUCCAUCUGGAGCUGGUGAAUGCCAAGGCCCAGGCCAACCGCCAGGACCAGGAGAAGGUCCUGAUGAAGGAGGAGCUGGUGACCCUCAGACAGGUAAAUGAGAAGCUUUCCUCUGAACUGGGUCAGAGCCGCCAGAGACUGGAGACCUCCCUGGGUCAGCUCCACCAGCUGGAGGCUGAGAAGAAGAUCCUGACCAAUAGGAUCCAGGCCCUGGAGACUGAGCGCACGCAGCUGCUGGGUGAACAGGAGGCGCUGAAGUCAGAAAUGCAGAGGGAUGCUGGAGGCCAGGGGAAUGAUGUGGCAGCUCUUCAAACGACCUGCGAAGGGCUCAGGGCAUCGCAGUCCCUGUUGCAGGCGGAGAAGGAAGCCCUGCAGGCUCGCUGCAUGGAGCUGGAGGCUGCCCUGCGGCACAAGCAGGAGGAGUUGUGUGGCCAGCUUGCAGAGCAGCAGCAGGUCUCCCAGCACUGGAAGGACAGAUGGAACCAGGCGGCUGUGGCCCUAAAAACCAAAGAGGAGGAACUGGAGCAAGCACAUGUGGCACGUCAGAGCUUGUCUGCCAAGCACACAGAGCUCCUGGAGGACUGCGAGCUGCUCCAGGUGGAUGUGGAGGAGCUGGCCGAGCUGAGAGGCGCCAUGUGCAGCCUGAAGGAAGAAAACGGAGACUUAAUGAGACAGCUGAGGGAGCAGCAACAGGCCACCCAGCUGCUGCAGCUACAGCAAGAGCUGGCUACAAACACAUCUGUACCGGGAUCAGACUCAGAGAGGACUUCAGAACAAGAGGCCCUUUACAGAGAGAUCCAGGAAACCCACGACAGGAUAAAGAGGCUGGAGAAUGAAAAAGCUGAGAUGAAGUCCGAGAUCAGGAAGCUGAAGCUGGAUGGCGCUUCUGUCCUGCGGAUUGAACUGGACGCCUGUAAGCAGGAGCUGGAGCUGGAAAAGAGCCGCAGUCAGGCUCUGAAUGGCAAAGUGCAGCUGCUGCAGUCCAGGCGCUGGGACAAUGCUACUCCACCACGUGAGCAGAUCAAGUUCCCAGCAGCCUCCAAUACCACAACAACAUCUGGCUUAGAGAUGGAUUGUCCUGUGUCCUCUCCAAGAAGUUCUCAGAUUUCCAGUCCUCAAGGAGAGCCGUUGGCCAUGGAGAGCCCCCAGGGCUUGAUGGCCUCAGGGGGCCUGUCUGAGGUGGAGAGCCUGAAGCAGGAGCUCCAGAGGGAGACUGCAUCCCGGCAGGAAAAGGAGGAGCUGAUCUGGACUCUGAGAGAGGAAUUAGAAGAACUGAAACUAAAGCAGCCAGGAGACAUCAAGGCCUCCCUGGAGGAAGUAGACACAGAGUUAGUGCUGGUCCGAGAAGAGCUGCAGAAGGUUUGGGACAUGCUGAAAACACGUGAUACGGCACUGGAAGAACGACACCUGGAGUUAGAAUCAGCCAGGAACCAGUACACUGAAUGCAGCUCAGAGAAGCUGAGACUGGAACAACUCGUCGCCUCUCUGGAGCACCAGCUGGCGGAGAGGGAACAGGCCUUGAGGCACCUUCGACAAGCAAGUGAGAUGGAAAAAACCAAGCUGGAGAUUCAAGCCUCUUCGUUAGAGCUGAAGCUGCCAGAAGUGGAGGUCCUGAGAGACGACGCCCACCGACGCAACCAGGCAUCGGGCCCCCCAGAGGUACAGAACUGGGGCCCCAGGCAGAGCCGUGCCAGCCGCUCCGAGGGGAAGUGCUCCCAGUGUGAUGCUUUUCUGGCCCAGCUGAACAAGAUGAUUCAAAGCUGUACAGAGAAAGGGGCUGUGCUGCAGGAGGACCAGACCUUGACCUACCUGUGUGAGCUGCAGGGGCUCCUCAAGGGGCUGAGUCAGUGCACAGCCGGCCAAGUCACAAGGAGCCCCCAGGAAAAGAGCCAAACCUUGGAACAGCAGCAUCAGCUGGUGACCGAGCAGCUCAAGGGCUUGUUCAGACAGAGGCAGCAGCUGCAGUCAGGGCACAGGAAGCUGUCAAGAGACCAGAAGGACGAGUGCUCAGUGGAGCAAUGGGUGAAGAACUCUCAAGUGAAUGCAAGAGGAGCCAUCAAGCCACACGGGAAACCUCCACAGGAGCUAAGAGAAAAGCAGCAGCCUGUGCCAGGAGAUCUGGGCUUCUCCACCAGCACCGAAGAAGCGCAGAGCCUCAGGCUGCAACUGCAAGAGAAAACGGAAAUGAUUUCCGCCAUGGCCUCUGAGAUCCAGGGACUGCAGCAAAAGAACGAACACCUGAUGAAAGCGAAACUGCGGUUUCAGCAGCAAAUCCAAGACAUCCGCAGCCUCCAGCAGCAGCGACAGGAAAGGAGCGACUCAGACCUGCUGGUUCCUAGGCUCUCCAGCCGGCAGGAGCUGGAGUUGGGGCUGAGCCAACGGAGCGAUGGCUCUGCACCUCCGACUGGCGGUGAUCCCCAUGCUUCUCUGUACCUAGCCAAGCAGGUGGUGCUGCCCGAGGCAGGAGACGAGCUGUGUUGCUUCAGUUCUGAAAGCAGUGGCAGCCAGUCCCACGGGUCCCAGGCAGGGUCAGAACUGCCAGCGCUGCCGCUGAGCAAGCUCCCUGCUGAUCCUGUGACUGGGAAGCUGCCUCCCCCGUCCACACUGCCCCUCCCAGCCUCCACCUCAGCAUCUGGCAAAUCCUCCCCCGAGGCCCGCUCGGCCCCAGUGAGCCCCCGGAGCCAGCCUGGCAGCCAGGAGUCCUCGUACACUCCCAAGGGGGCAGUGCUGCUCUCGCCAAGACCCUUCCGGGCACAACGACUGGGCUCGCCCUUUAAAUUCAGAGUGAGCCCGGAGCCCCCAGGGGAGAGCUGUGGCAGCUGAAGCACCCUGUCCGUUGAGAUCAGACUAGAUGAUCACAACGGCCCCCUUCUGGCCUUGGAAUCUAUGAAUCCUGCAUGGCUGGGUACACGUGGCUUUGAAUGAUCCGCUCUGUGCCCUCUCCUUGUCCCCUGAGCUGUUCGCCGUAGAGUCUGGCUGGUAAAUGAAUGAACAUAGCAUGUUCUCUUGGAACUGGCUGUUUCCCCCUGGCAGCGGCGAAAGGUGGUCUCCUGACCCCUUGGGUUGGAAUUCAGAUUGGGGGCAUUACAGGGGAGGGGCUGUUCUUGCACUAGCCGGGCAACUAAGUCCAACAGUCCCUAGUUCCCCGCGCACCUGGGCCUCCUGGAGUAGGGAGCCAUCAGUGUGGUCUGUGAGCAGCAAAUGGUUCGAUGUAUGCUACAGGUUCUUUCCUUGCCCGAGCAUCUGAGCACCUGCCACUCAUGCGUUAAGGGAUUUGACUCACUUUUGCCAUGCGUAGUUCUUGCUUUCGCUCGUCUUCUCCCCAGGGGGAGAACUGUGUGCAGUGGAGUGUUGGGAAACAUACCCCCUGCUCUGUGUUUAUAUGGGGAAGGGACGGUCAGAGGGGUGCGCCUGGCACCUAGACCAUGAGGUGGGGAGGGUUGUGAUGGUCCUUGGGUUCAUCCCACAGUCUGAGGCUGGCCCCCAAGACAGCUCUGCCUCCUGCAUAGCCGAGCUUUACCCUGAAGUUAGGAAGUGCCUUGGUGCCAGAGGCGCAGAGCCCAACCAGGCCCCAGCCCAAACCUUUAGGUGAUCUUCUACAUAGGCUGGGCCUCUUCUGUUCCCCUGAGACAGAGAGCUUGCUUCUCCCUUUCCUGGAAGCUCAACCUCCUGAGGGAGAGGAGGCCGUAGAUAGAGUACCCCCAAGCUACACCAGCUGCAUUGCUCAGCUGCUGCACUGAGGAACAGGCAGCAGAGCAGGCCCACGCAGCUCACUGCCUCCAGUUCCCUUGUCCCUAGCAGCCCUGCCUUCAGAGUCAUCAGG
This is a long non-coding RNA of Chrysemys picta bellii (western painted turtle), 5334 nucleotides long. NCBI's taxonomy places the organism in Eukaryota, Metazoa, Chordata, Testudines, Emydidae. The record is from Ensembl.